ACGGCUCAGUAACACGUGGUCAACCUAACUCGUGGACGUGGAUAACCUCGGGAAACUGAGAAUAAACCACGAUAGAUCAUAAUGCCUGGAAUGGCUUAUGGUCCAAACAGUUUACUGCCAUGGGAUGGGACUGCGGCCUAUCAGCUUGUUGGUGAGGUAAUGGCCCACCAAGGCGAUUACAGGUACGGGCUCUGAGAGGAGAAGCCCGGAGAUGGGUACUGAGACACGGACCCAGGCCCUAUGGGGCGCAGCAGGCGAGAAACCUUAGCAAUGUGCGAAAGCACGACUGGGUCAGUCCGAGUGAUUCCUGAUAAAGGAGUCUUUUGCUUGUCCUAAAAGCACAGGUGAAUAAGGGGUGGGCAAGUCUGGUGUCAGCCGCCGCGGUAAUACCAGCACCUCGAGUGGUCAGGACGUUUAUUGGGCCUAAAGCAUCCGUAGCCGGCUCUGCAAGUCUUCGGUUAAAUCCACCUGCUCAACAGAUGGGCUGCCGGAGAUACUACAAAGCUAGGGAGCGGGAGAGGUAGACGGUAUUCUGUGGGUAGGGGUAAAAUCCACUGAUCCAUAGAGGACCACCAGUGGCGAAGGCGGUCUACCAGAACGCGUUCGACGGUGAGGGAUGAAAGCUGGGGGAGCAAACCGGAUUAGAUACCCGGGUAGUCCCAGCUGUAAACGAUGCAAACUCGGUGAUGCAUUGGCUUAUGGCCAAUGCAGUGCCGCAGGGAAGCCGUUAAGUUUGCCGCCUGGGAAGUACGGACGCAAGUCUGAAACUUAAAGGAAUUGGCGGGGGAG
RNAcentral lists this ribosomal RNA (789 nucleotides) under uncultured archaeon. Its description in RNAcentral is "bacterial SSU rRNA". It matches the Rfam family "Archaeal small subunit ribosomal RNA", at positions 85 to 876 of the family's 1478-position model. The record is from RNAcentral.